GACGAACGCUGGCGGCGUGCCUAAUACAUGCAAGUCGAACGAACCGCGACUAAGUGCUUGCACUAAGUCAAGGUGAGUGGCGAACGGGUGAGUAACACGUGGGUAACCUACCUCAUAGUGGGGGAUAACAGUCGGAAACGACUGCUAAUACCGCAUAGGACAUAGGAUCACAUGAUCCAGUGAGGAAAGGUGGCGCAAGCUAUCGCUACGAGAUGGACCCGCGGUGCAUUAGCUAGUUGGGAGGGUAAAGGCCUACCAAGGCGAUGAUGCAUAGCCGACCUGAGAGGGUGAUCGGCCACAUUGGGACUGAGACACGGCCCAAACUCCUACGGGAGGCAGCAGUAGGGAAUCUUCCGCAAUGGACGCAAGUCUGACGGAGCAACGCCGCGUGAGUGAAGAGGGUCUUCGGAUCGUAAAGCUCUGUUGUUAGAGAAGAACAGCGCAUAGAGUAACUGCUAUGCGUGUGACGGUAUCUAAACAGAAAGCCACGGCUAACUACGUG
RNAcentral lists this ribosomal RNA (502 nucleotides) under uncultured bacterium. Its description in RNAcentral is "partial 16S ribosomal RNA". It matches the Rfam family "Bacterial small subunit ribosomal RNA", at positions 28 to 507 of the family's 1533-position model. The record is from RNAcentral.